GUGGGGAAUUUUGGACAAUGGGCGAAAGCCUGAUCCAGCCAUGCCGCGUGCAGGAUGAAGGCCUUCGGGUUGUAAACUGCUUUUGUACGGAACGAAAAGACUCCUUCUAAUAAAGGGGGUCCAUGACGGUACCGUAAGAAUAAGCACCGGCUAACUACGUGCCAGCAGCCGCGGUAAUACGUAGGGUGCAAGCGUUAAUCGGAAUUACUGGGCGUAAAGCGUGCGCAGGCGGUUAUAUAAGACAGAUGUGAAAUCCCCGGGCUCAACCUGGGAACUGCAUUUGUGACUGUAUAGCUAGAGUACGGUAGAGGGGGAUGGAAUUCCGCGUGUAGCAGUGAAAUGCGUAGAUAUGCGGAGGAACACCGAUGGCGAAGGCAAUCCCCUGGGCCUACACUGACGCUCAUGCACGAAAGCGUGGGGAGCAAACAGGAUUAGAUACCCUAGUAGUCC
RNAcentral lists this ribosomal RNA (450 nucleotides) under uncultured bacterium. RNAcentral describes it as "partial 16S ribosomal RNA". It matches the Rfam family "Bacterial small subunit ribosomal RNA", at positions 354 to 796 of the family's 1533-position model. The record is from RNAcentral.